This 401-nucleotide transfer-messenger RNA is filed under the name Hyphomicrobium zavarzinii. It matches the Rfam family "Alphaproteobacteria transfer-messenger RNA". Rfam says of the family: Bacterial tmRNA, also known as 10Sa RNA or SsrA, is named for its dual tRNA and mRNA-like properties. Its role is to liberate the mRNA from a stalled ribosome. To accomplish this part of the tmRNA is used as a reading frame that ends in a translation stop signal. The record is from RNAcentral. Lineage: Bacteria; Pseudomonadati; Pseudomonadota; Alphaproteobacteria; Hyphomicrobiales; Hyphomicrobiaceae.
GCACUUUUAUUUCUAAUCCUCCCGGCAUAUAUUUAGAUCGCCGGAUUCGUCCGGCUAUGGCGAUAAACGCGACCGUAAUAAGCCGUUCGGACCCGGGGGCAGUACCCGGCGCCUCCACCACAAGCUCAUGGGGUUUCAAAGGCCUCCUGGGACUUGGCCACGGACCCUCCUCCGUGAGCUGGUGAUGGGGGCGAACUAGGAUCGACGAGGGUGUAAAGGGUUUAGCUUUUGCCCGGCAUGAUACCACCGUCAUCGGGUCAUUCAGAAUAGUUGCCAAUGACAACUAUGCUGAGGCUGCUCUCGCUGCGUAAUGCGGCGCGAAAUGCCUAACUACUAAAGUCCUCGCUCCUAGCCGAGCAAGGCGCGGUCUGGGGGGCACCGGGCAACAGAAGCCUCCCGCU